GACGAACGCUGGCGGCGUGCUUAAUACAUGCAAGUCGAACGGAAAGGCCCUGCUUUUGUGGGGUGCUCGAGUGGCGAACGGGUGAGUAACACGUGAGUAACCUGCCCUUGACUUUGGGAUAACUUCAGGAAACUGGGGCUAAUACCGGAUAGGAGUUCCUGUUGCAUGGUGGGGGUUGGAAAGUUUCGGCGGUUGGGGAUGGACGCGCGGCUUAUCAGCUUGUUGGUGGGGUAGUGGCUUACCAAGGCUUUGACGGGUAGCCGGCCUGAGAGGGUGACCGGCCACAUUGGGACUGAGAUACGGCCCAGACUGCUACGGGAGGCAGCAGUGGGGAAUAUUGCACAAUGGGCGGAAGCCUGAUGCAGCAACGCCGCGUGCGGGAUGACGGCCGUCGGGUUGUAAACCGCGUUCGCCUGUGACGAAGCGUGAGUGACGGUAAUUGGUAAAGAAGCACCGGCUAACUACGUG
RNAcentral lists this ribosomal RNA (468 nucleotides) under uncultured bacterium. Its description in RNAcentral is "partial 16S ribosomal RNA". It matches the Rfam family "Bacterial small subunit ribosomal RNA", at positions 28 to 507 of the family's 1533-position model. The record is from RNAcentral.